UUGCCCCAAUAAGCGUCGUCACACCCAUAAGGUACGACAGCGCAUUUCGCCUCAAAUUCUUUGAGAAACGGAGAAUUUUCGAUGAUAACGCGAUUGGACACAACAAUCUUGUCAGCUCGCUUAAGCGNNNNNNNGGAUGAGUGGCCCUAAAACCCUCAUCAGCCAUGGCCGGCCGACGACCUCAGCAUGCCAAUGCACAAUCAGGAUUGAAUCCUUCGGCAUCAGAAGAACCGCCAGAUCCGUCAGCGGAAAGGGCGCGUGGUGAACGACGAUGUCCGAGGAUUUUACCCGUUCGAGGAACUUGAACGGAUAAGUCGGCGCCAGCGGCGUCGACAUAAUCAUUCCGACCGACGAAACCGCCUCGACGUUCACGCCCUGGAAUUCGUAGUUGCAUCCAAUGCCGCGCUCACAGGCGACAAGGAUCCUGGUCUCGAAGCCCUUCGGAA
Molecule: unclassified non-coding RNA, 446 nt
Filed under: Hevea brasiliensis (rubber tree)
Lineage: Eukaryota; Viridiplantae; Streptophyta; Magnoliopsida; Malpighiales; Euphorbiaceae
Source: RNAcentral